This 1099-nucleotide small RNA is filed under the name Pan troglodytes (chimpanzee). RNAcentral's name for it is "processed transcript". Lineage: Eukaryota; Metazoa; Chordata; Mammalia; Primates; Hominidae. The record is from RNAcentral.
AUGACGCGGCGGCCAGCCGAGGCUUCCGGGUCAUGUACCAAACCGGGGAAAGAUAAGGGACUCCAAGUCCCAGCCCGGGAGCGGUGAAACAGAGCGCGGCCAGAAGGGUCCGCGAAUCCCACAGCACGACGCACGCGCAGUGAAAGGCAGUAGAAGGCGGGGUGACGCACACGGCUUCCUGGGAGGUGUAGUUUUCUCUACGAGCGCCUUUCGAGAUCUACUGGAGGCUCGCGCAGGAGCCGUGAGCUGCCUAAGGCAGCCUUUUCAUUAACCAAACUUCUUGAAGCCACAUCUGCAGUAUCAGCUCAAGUGGAAGAACUUGCCUUCAAAUGUACAGAAAAUGCACGUUUCCUUAAAACGUGGCGGGACCUCUUGAAAGAAGGCUAUGAUUCUUUGAAGCCUGAUGACUGAUUUGGCAUACUUCGUUGUUUAAUAAUGACUGCAAUAAUUCAUACUUCUUAUGUCAUAUUUUGUACAUGUACCACACAUAUAGGAUGACCUCUGUCCAGCAGUUCUGUAUAUAUUCAGAAUGAAAUUUUUCUUGGUUUUCUUGGUUUUUGUGAAAGCAGAAUACUGAUGCUAUUUUUGUUGCGGACCAGUACUUGUUUGUCCUUAAAUACUUUAUGCCUCUGAACUUUCAUAGAAUCCUUUAUGAAAGUUAACUUCAUCAAUAGACAGUUAAUAUUAAUAGAGCCACAGUGCUACCAGUAGCAAACUAGGUAGACCAUUAUUUGUUUUGCAACAAGAUGCUAAGCAUGGCAGAGUUUGAAGUUGCGUUUCAUCUUAAGGACCAAGAGAGGUAACUUUAAGGUUGCCAGUGGUGGAUCCAGCUCCGUUAGGCUAAGUUGUCUACAGCUAAUGAUUGUGUCUUUAUUCUAUAUCCCCAGCACCUAAAACAGGGUCACACAACAUUCACUAAAUGUUUGUUGAAUAAAAGAGUUAACAAACAUAAUUGAAAGCUUUUUUUCUUCCUAUAUUUAGCAUGAAGACUGUCAUUGUUUCUCUAGGAAAUGUAUGAAUCUGAACUUUUUUGACUUGAAGAAAAACAUUCUUUUUUUACAGAGAUUUGGACUUUGAUGAUAGGUUUUAAAAAUAUAUG